AUUAUUAGCUGUGAUUUUGCUCUAUCAGGUUCAUAUUUUUCUACAAUUGGUAUCAGAGCUUGGUUGGCAAGAAAUUUCUUAAAAUUCGGUGGUUGCAGCUCAGUCUGAUCUUUCACAUCAGAAGAGGGUUUUUUGAGGUUUCUUUGGUGCAAAAGAGCUUGUGUGGAGUAGUAAGAAUACUUACAAUUUAGGGAAGGUUCUGUCUAAGGAGAUUGGUAUUUAAGAGGUCCGCUUGUGACCCUCCAGUCUUUCCUGGGAACUUACCUAGUGAGUUGUGUUCAU
This 282-nucleotide long non-coding RNA is filed under the name Ricinus communis (castor bean). Its description in RNAcentral is "long non-coding RNA (RCOM_LNC002958)". Lineage: Eukaryota; Viridiplantae; Streptophyta; Magnoliopsida; Malpighiales; Euphorbiaceae. The record is from RNAcentral.